CCCUGACAAGGCUCGCCGCUUGGGCUACAAGGCCAAGCAGGUAUGAUAAGAAAUGUGUCCUUUAGUCGUAGAAAUGUGGAGCUUCACAUAACUAAUUUAUCUCAUGGGAUAAUAUUCAUCUGGUAUUGUAAAUAUUAUCUAUAAUACUUGUUAUUGGAGUACUGUUCAUUUUGUUCCCCAUAAAGUGUAAAGGGAGAUGCUUGUGCACUUGAUGAUUUCCUGAGCUCAUGCAAGUUUUGUCCUCUAAAUGCUAAUUGCUGGACAAUGGGCACUUUGUUUUGGAAUAUAUGAUUCUUGCUGGUUAAGCGGUAUCUUGAUUCAUAUUCAUUUCUCCUUA
This 337-nucleotide unclassified non-coding RNA is filed under the name Hevea brasiliensis (rubber tree). The record is from RNAcentral. Lineage: Eukaryota; Viridiplantae; Streptophyta; Magnoliopsida; Malpighiales; Euphorbiaceae.